This 120-nucleotide ribosomal RNA is filed under the name Streptomyces anulatus. Its description in RNAcentral is "partial 16S rRNA". It matches the Rfam family "Bacterial small subunit ribosomal RNA", at positions 162 to 283 of the family's 1533-position model. Lineage: Bacteria; Bacillati; Actinomycetota; Actinomycetes; Kitasatosporales; Streptomycetaceae. The record is from RNAcentral.
UCUAAUACCGGAUAACACCUCCACUCUCCUGGGUGGAGGUUAAAAGCUCCGGCGGUGAAGGAUGAGCCCGCGGCCUAUCAGCUUGUUGGUGAGGUAAUGGCUCACCAAGGCGACGACGGG